CAAAGAAAGUUGAAACAAAGAAGUCCCAAAUUAAUCUCUGAAAUGUCACUCCAAAAGGUACUUCAAAACCUAAGAACUCUCAAAAAAUGGCAAAUCCCAAAUCCCCCUCUUCACCCUAGAGCAAAAAUUGCAGACACCAUUAUCAAUACAGUGCUAAGCCCCAUAGUCAUUGCACCCUCUACUCUUCUCUCCAACCUCACUCCCAAUUUGAUUCUCCUUAUUUUAUCUGACCCACAUAUCAACACACCUAAAUGCCUCGACUUCUUCAAUUUCCUUUUGCUUAAUCAAUCUUUCAUUACUUUCAAGAUUGGUGUUGAAACCCACUUGACACUUGUUUGCAGGCUUGUCAAAGAAGGAUACUUUGAAGAUGCUGAGACCCUUUUAGUUUUAGUCCCAAAUAUUGAAACUUUCAGGUGCCCUUUUGCUGUUAUAGCUUCUUUCUUUGAGAAUCACAAUGCUCCAUCAAAGUUUGCUUCGAAAAUAUUCAAUUUGCUUCUUAAAGCUUUAUCUGAUAACGGAAAAUUCAACGAGGCUUUAGAGAUUUUCAUGUAUAUGAAACUAAAUGCAAUUGAGAUUAAUGAGAGAACAUGUACUGUUCAUUUGAUUAAUCUUUUGAAGUGUAAUCAGAUCGCGUUAGCGCUGGUAUUCUUUUAUCAAAUGGUUGAAUCAGGUAUUCAGGUUUCAGUAUUUUCGUUGACGGUCGUGGUAGAUGGAUUGUGUAAGAGUGGGGAGAUAAAGAAGGCUAGAGAAUUGGUGGAGGAAAUGUUGUCUAAAGGGGUGAAGCCUAAUAUUAUUACAUGUAAUACCUUGGUGGAUGCUUGUGCUAGGAGAUGGAAUUUCGAAGAAAUGAACAACAUUUUGGCCUUGAUGAAAAGGGAACGAGUCGAUUUAAAUGUUGAGACUUACAAAUUUUUGGUGGAUGGAUUUUUGAGUAGUGGGAAGAUUGAUGAUGCAGAGAGAUUGAUUUUGGAAAUGUAUGUCAAGGGUUUUAAAGUGGAUAUCCAUUUGUAUAAUUUGAUGAUUAAGGGAUAUUGCAGGCUAGGGAAUAUGGAAAGGGCACUUUCAUUGUUCAGGCAGAUGAUUGAGAAAGACAUCUGCCCUAAUUGUGAUACAUAUUCAGUUUUGGUAAAAGGACUUUGUGAUAAAGGACAGGUAAGUGCAGCAAAAGAGCUCGUAGAUAAAAUGCUGGGCCAGGGAAUUGAGUUGGAUGGAAGUAUGUUCGACAUCUUAAUUCACUGUUACUUCAAGGCUGGAAUGAUUGAGGAAGCUGUUAGCGUACUUGGAUUGAUGGAGAAGAGAGAAUUCAUUGCUGAUACGUCUGUGUAUGAGCUGAUAAUUGAUGGAUUACUCAAGUUAGAUCGGACUGAAGAGGCAAUAUCUUGGUUAACACCUUUAAUCAAAAGGGGUGUAUCUAGGCAGAAGUUAGCUACUAUUCCACUGGUCGAUUAUUUAAGAAAUUCAGUUUCUGAAAAGUUGGUUCACAAAUACAAAGAAAAUGAGAACAGCUUUAAAACAACCUUUUACUCUGAUACGAUUAGUUUACAGCACAAGGAUGCACAUUCUGCUGAAAUGACUAACAUUUCAGCAGUAAUAAACGAGUAUAUAAAGUAAAAUGCUGCUUAACUUGUUGUUCAGAGAAGGAGGAGACAUGCAUCGUAAGUGAAAAGAACCCAUGAUGAUGUGGCACUGAAGGAAAGUUUUGAGGACGUUGGUUGCCUUGUGUGUCAAGGGGUGCAGGUUUUGUCAUGAUAGUGCUAGAUUUUUGGACGAGAAAACAGGCUGGAAAUGAUGUGGGUUGUCAAUUAUCACCUUGGGAGUUUGUUUGGGAAUCAGGGAAAGACACCGAAAAGGAAAACGGAGAGGGGGAAAGUGAAGGAUAAAUAACUCUACUUUUUUGUUCGGAGAAAUGAGGAAACCAUAUGCUUGCCCGUUGUCCCUUCACAUUCACUACUUGUGUAUUGAAGGUAUCAGGUGAAAUUGAAGCUCAGUUUGCUCCAAUUGGUGCUAAGUCUGUUGUUAAGAAAAUGUUGUCAUACCGCAACUCUGUACCCUUUU
RNA transcript from Solanum stenotomum, 2055 nucleotides. It is a transcript of the gene named pentatricopeptide repeat-containing protein At2g28050, with no coding region annotated. The transcript has 4 exons. The record is from RefSeq and is a predicted model, not a curated record. Lineage: Eukaryota; Viridiplantae; Streptophyta; Magnoliopsida; Solanales; Solanaceae.